Non-coding RNA from Tribolium castaneum (red flour beetle), 97 nucleotides. NCBI's taxonomy places the organism in Eukaryota, Metazoa, Arthropoda, Insecta, Coleoptera, Tenebrionidae. The record is from RefSeq and is marked provisional.
AUUAAAUGUCAACAAUCGGAUCAUUUUGGACUUUUAUAAACAUUAAUAAAACAGAUGUUUAGAAAAGGACAAAUUGACCCGAUUAUUGAUAUAAUAU